UUAUAGAGUAUGUUAGUGUUAUAGAGUAUGUUAUAGAUUAUAUGUUAGAGUAUGUUAGUGUUAUAGAGUAUGUUAUAGAUUAUAUGUUAGAGUAUGUUAGUGUUAUAGAGUGUGUUAUAGAGUAUAUGUUAGAGUAUGUUAUGUUAUAGAGUGUGUUAUAGAUUAUAUGUUAGAGUAUGUUAGUGUUAUAGAGUGUUAUAGAUUAUAUGUUAGAGUAUGUUAGUGUUGUAGAGUAUGUUAUAGAUUAUAUGUUAGAGUAUGUUAGUGUUAUAGAGUAGGUUAUAGAUUAUAUGUUAGAGUAUGUUAGUGUUAGAGUGUGUUAGAGUAUACAGUAUGUUAUAGAGUAUGUUAUAGAUUAUAUGUUAGAGUAUGUUAGUGUUAUAGAGUGUGUUAGAGUAUAUGUUAGAGUAUGUUAGUGUUA
Long non-coding RNA from Ictalurus punctatus (channel catfish), 421 nucleotides. Lineage: Eukaryota; Metazoa; Chordata; Actinopteri; Siluriformes; Ictaluridae. The record is from Ensembl.